AAUAGAUACCCUGGUAGUCCACGCCGUAAACGAUGAGUGCUAAGUGUUAGGGGGUUUCCGCCCCUUAGUGCUGCAGCUAACGCAUUAAGCACUCCGCCUGGGGAGUACGGUCGCAAGACUGAAACUCAAAGGAAUUGACGGGGGCCCGCACAAGCGGUGGAGCAUGUGGUUUAAUUCGAAGCAACGCGAAGAACCUUACCAGGUCUUGACAUCCUCUGACAAUCCUAGAGAUAGGACGUCCCCUUCGGGGGCAGAGUGACAGGUGGUGCAUGGUUGUCGUCAGCUCGUGUCGUGAGAUGUUGGGUUAAGUCCCGCAACGAGCGCAACCCUUGAUCUUAGUUGCCAGCAUUCAGUUGGGCACUCUAAGGUGACUGCCGGUGACAAACCGGAGGAAGGUGGGGAUGACGUCAAAUCAUCAUGCCCCUUAUGACCUGGGCUACACACGUGCUACAAUGGACAGAACAAAGGGCAGCGAAACCGCGAGGUUAAGCCAAUCCCACAAAUCUGUUCUCAGUUCGGAUCGC
Molecule: ribosomal RNA, 524 nt
Filed under: uncultured bacterium
Lineage: Bacteria
Description: bacterial SSU rRNA
Rfam family: Bacterial small subunit ribosomal RNA
Source: RNAcentral